CACGUAGGGGCCAAGCGUUGUCCGGAUUUAUUGGGCGUAAAGAGCUCGUAGGCGGUGUGUCGCGUCGGCCGUGAAAACCUGCAGCUUAACUGUGGGCUUGCGGUCGAUACGGGCAUCACUGGAGUUCGGCAGGGGAGACUGGAAUUCCUGGUGUAGCGGUGAAAUGCGCAGAUAUCAGGAGGAACACCGGUGGCGAAGGCGGGUCUCUGGACAGUUCCUGACGCUGAGGCACGAAGGCCAGGGGAGCAAACGGG
This 254-nucleotide ribosomal RNA is filed under the name uncultured bacterium. RNAcentral's name for it is "partial 16S ribosomal RNA". It matches the Rfam family "Bacterial small subunit ribosomal RNA", at positions 524 to 776 of the family's 1533-position model. The record is from RNAcentral.